RNAcentral lists this long non-coding RNA (359 nucleotides) under Homo sapiens (human). RNAcentral describes it as "HSALNT0066744". Lineage: Eukaryota; Metazoa; Chordata; Mammalia; Primates; Hominidae. The record is from RNAcentral.
CCCCGGGCCGCUCCAGACCUGCCCCACGCCCUGGCGUGUCCCUUUCCCGGUGGGGACCCUCUAGCGGCCUGAGUUUGAGAGAAGAUCUAAGCUAAGCCGCCACAGCGAGGGACCACAUUGAGAAGAUCGGAGCCUGCCUGGCCGUUGUGAGCCUCCUCUCCUGCGGCUGAACAGACCUAACUGACUACAGCCAGGAGUGGGUCAUUCGAGGGUCAGGAGAGGUUUUAGACGUAAAAUACACACGUGGGUGACCUCAAACAUACUCUCUGAGCCUCUUGUUGAACAAAAUGGAGCUAGGCAGUUUGGGGUUCUUUGUUUGUUUGUUUUUACAUGGAGUCUCACUCUGUCACCCAGGCUGG